RNAcentral lists this ribosomal RNA (376 nucleotides) under uncultured bacterium. RNAcentral describes it as "bacterial SSU rRNA". It matches the Rfam family "Bacterial small subunit ribosomal RNA", at positions 521 to 896 of the family's 1533-position model. The record is from RNAcentral.
UAAGACGAACCGUGCGAACGUUGUUCGGAAUCACUGGGCUUAAAGGGCGCGUAGGCGGCUUGUCAAGUCAGGGGUGAAAUCUUUCGGCUCAACCGGAAAAGUGCCUUUGAUACUGACAAGCUAGAGGGAAGUAGGGGCAUGUGGAACUUCUGGUGGAGCGGUGAAAUGCGUUGAUAUCAGAAGGAACGCCGGUGGCGAAAGCGACGUGCUGGACUUCUUCUGACGCUGAGGCGCGAAAGCUAGGGGAGCAAACGGGAUUAGAUACCCCGGUAGUCCUAGCCCUAAACGAUGGGUACUAGAUUGUAGACUUAACAUGGGUUUACAGUCGAAGCAAAAGUGUUAAGUACCCCGCCUGGGGAGUAUGGUCGCAAGGCUG